Molecule: ribosomal RNA, 468 nt
Filed under: uncultured bacterium
Lineage: Bacteria
Description: partial 16S ribosomal RNA
Rfam family: Bacterial small subunit ribosomal RNA
Source: RNAcentral
GACGAACGCUGGCGGCGUGCUUAACACAUGCAAGUCGAACGGAAAGGCCCUGCUUUUGUGGGGUGCUCGAGUGGCGAACGGGUGAGUAACACGUGAGUAACCUGCCCUUGACUUUGGGAUAACUUCAGGAAACUGGGGCUAAUACCGGAUAGGAGCUCCUGCUGCAUGGUGGGGGUUGGAAAGUUUCGGCGGUUGGGGAUGGACUCGCGGCUUAUCAGCUUGUUGGUGGGGUAGUGGCUUACCAAGGCUUUGACGGGUAGCCGGCCUGAGAGGGUGACCGGCCACAUUGGGACUGAGAUACGGCCCAGACUCCUACGGGAGGCAGCAGGGGGGAAUAUUGCACAAUGGGCGGAAGCCUGAUGCAGCAACGCCGCGUGCGGGAUGACGGCCUUCGGGUUGUAAACCGCUUUCGCCUGUGACGAAGCGUGAGGGACGGUAAUGGGUAAAGAAGCACCGGCUAACUACGUG